Molecule: long non-coding RNA, 1122 nt
Organism: Meriones unguiculatus (Mongolian gerbil)
Lineage: Eukaryota; Metazoa; Chordata; Mammalia; Rodentia; Muridae
Exons: 2
Source: RefSeq, a predicted model, not a curated record
CCGCCUUCUGAGAAUAUUGACAUUGUCACUGUUCCAGCUGGGAAAACUUUACCCCAAGUUAGGCCAACCACUGCAUUUCUUCUUUUGAGGUCUCCCAGGCCUGUCUCUCCUUUGACCUCCUCUUCCUUCUCCCGGAAGCCUCCCUGACUCCUAACAGCUUGUAUAUUGCUGUAGUCACCUGCGGAGGCUGAGGGAUCUCACUGAAGGUUUCAUGUGAAUGUCAAGAUGGAUAGAACCACUCAUGAACCAAGAGAGCAUGAAAGGUUUUCUCGUUUGCAGAAUUGCCAUCUCUCAGGACGGCAGCUCCCAUACGGCUUGCGAUCACGGAAGGAGGAGGAUUACGUGGAUUUUCGCUGUGGUUGAGGGCUGGUUCAUCCUCCAUCAGGAAGAGCUGACCGUGUAAAGUCAACUGGAGGGAUGAGAGGAGGCCCCAGAGAUAAACUGCCUAGGAACAAAGAGUUUCAGCCUGCAGCAUGGAACUUCGAGUUCUCUCUCCAGAUCUGCAGCCCAGACUCAGGCAGGCCCUGUCUCCGUCCACUCCAGUCCAUCCCCCAUAGGUCUGUCUGACGCUUCCCACAUUCCUCAGCUGGGUCUGUCUUCUACCAGUCUCCCGGCUCCUGCUCCCACGUUCCCUCUGGACACUCCUUUGGACUGGAAAUGCCAUCCCUCAUCCCUUUCCUGCUCCUGGUCACCAGAUCGGACAUGCUGGUCCUUCCUGUUUGGGAUGGUUUACUAGAUAAGGCCUGGCAUGGAUCCCAUCUGUCAUCACCACAUGACUCAAAACUAUUUUGGGCAGGACCCUUGCUUAUACCAAGUGUCCACCCUGGGCCUCCUGGCCCUGGCUAUUGACACUCCUCCAGGAAUAGGGCCAAGAACCAAGGGAGCUAUCCAGAAGGGCAAAUGCAGCAGCUCAGCUUCCAUCCAGCUUCCUGUUCCUUGACCCCAGAUGUCUUUGGUAGCUCUAGCCCACAAGUCAAACCAUGAGAGAGACUGAGUGGCCCUGGAAGUCGAAAGUGGACCAAUACUGUUCUAAGGGCAGCCAGGGACAAGUGUCUGCUCUCAAGUGCCACAGCAAAAACUGUUAUCACAGCUGCUUUUGUUUAGGUAUGUCUGACUGUCUGA